AGAUUGAACGCUGGCGGCAUGCCUUACACAUGCAAGUCGAACGGUAGAGUAGCAAUACUCGAGAGUGGCGAACGGGUGAGUAAUAUAUCGGAACGUGCCCAGUCGUGGGGGAUAACGUAGAGAAAUUUACGCUAAUACCGCAUACGAUCUACGGAUGAAAGCGGGGGAUCGCAAGACCUCGCGCGAUUGGAGCGGCUGAUAUCAGAUUAGGUUGUUGGUGAGGUAAAAAGCUCACCAAGCCGACGAUCUGUAGCUGGUUUGAGAGAACGACCAGCCACACUGGGACUGAGACACGGCCCAGACUCCUACGGGAGGCAGCAGUGGGGAAUUUUGGACAAUGGGCGAAAGCCUGAUCCAGCAAUGCCGCGUGCAGGAAGAAGGCCUUCGGUUGUAAACUGCUUUGUACGUAACGAAAGACGUCUUUCUAAUUAAAGAAGGACCCGAGUAGACGGUAACCGUAAGAAUAAGACACCGCUAACUACGUGACCAGCAGCCGACGGUAAGUCUAGA
This 510-nucleotide ribosomal RNA is filed under the name uncultured soil bacterium. Its description in RNAcentral is "bacterial SSU rRNA". It matches the Rfam family "Bacterial small subunit ribosomal RNA", at positions 26 to 531 of the family's 1533-position model. The record is from RNAcentral.